CCCAUUUUAUCCUCAGAAGAGGGACAGCGUGGGCAAAAGCAGUGCAAGCUUCCCCAAAGUUAUCACUGUGCCUCAACCUUGACUUCUCUCUGUCUGGAUUACUGAG
This 106-nucleotide small RNA is filed under the name Chelonoidis abingdonii (Abingdon island giant tortoise). RNAcentral's name for it is "TUC338 (ENSCABG00000015131.1)". The record is from RNAcentral. Lineage: Eukaryota; Metazoa; Chordata; Testudines; Testudinidae.